AGCAGAGUGGCUUAGUGGAAGGAGCACAGACUUGGGAGUCAGAUGUUGUGGGUUCUAAUCCCAGCUCUGCAU
This 72-nucleotide transfer RNA is filed under the name Ornithorhynchus anatinus (platypus). It matches the Rfam family "tRNA". From Rfam's summary of the family: Transfer RNA (tRNA) molecules are approximately 80 nucleotides in length. Their secondary structure includes four short double-helical elements and three loops (D, anti-codon, and T loops). Lineage: Eukaryota; Metazoa; Chordata; Mammalia; Monotremata; Ornithorhynchidae. The record is from Rfam by way of RNAcentral.